Molecule: ribosomal RNA, 207 nt
Filed under: uncultured bacterium
Lineage: Bacteria
Description: partial 16S ribosomal RNA
Rfam family: Bacterial small subunit ribosomal RNA
Source: RNAcentral
CGCGCAGGCGGUGGCGUCAGUCAGUGGUGAAAUCCCUCGGCUCAACCGAGGAACGGCCAUUGAUACUGCGCUACUAGAGUGUGGGAAGGGUAGACGGAAUUCCAGGUGGAGCGGUGAAAUGCGUAGAUAUCUGGAGGAACGCCAGAGGCGAAAGCGGUCUGCUGGCCCACAACUGACGCUGAGGCGCGAAAGCUAGGGGAGCAAACA